CAGUCGCCGCGGUAAAACGUAUGUCACAAGCGUUAUCCGGAUUUAUUGGGCGUAAAGCGCGUCUAGGUGGUUAUGUAAGUCUGAUGUGAAAAUGCAGGGCUCAACUCUGUAUUGCGUUGGAAACUGUGUAACUAGAGUACUGGAGAGGUAAGCGGAACUACAAGUGUAGAGGUGAAAUUCGUAGAUAUUUGUAGGAAUGCCGAUGGGGAAGCCAGCUUACUGGACAGAUACUGACGCUGAAGCGCGAAAGCGUGGGUAGCAAACAGGAUUAGAUACCCCCGUAGUCCCUGUCUCUUAUACC
Molecule: ribosomal RNA, 301 nt
Filed under: uncultured bacterium
Lineage: Bacteria
Description: partial 16S ribosomal RNA
Rfam family: Bacterial small subunit ribosomal RNA
Source: RNAcentral